Molecule: ribosomal RNA, 1952 nt
Filed under: human gut metagenome
Description: bacterial LSU rRNA
Rfam family: Bacterial large subunit ribosomal RNA
Source: RNAcentral
UCAAGCGAACAAGGGCGCAGGGCGAAUGCCUUGGCACUGGGAGCCGAUGAAAGACGUGAUAAGCUGCGAUAAGCUUCGGGGAGCUGCAAAUAAGCAUUGAUCCGGAGAUUUCUGAAUGAGGAAACUCACCUGGGUUCAUACUCAAGUACGUUGUACUGAAAUUCAAAAUAGGUACAUCGAGGGAACCGCCUGAACUGAAACAUCUAAGUAGGGCGAGGAAGAGACAUCAAACGAGAUUCCGUAAGUAGUGGCGAGCGAACGCGGAAGAGGGCAAACCGAAGGUAGAAAUACCUUCGGGGUACGGAGCGCAUUUAAGACUCAAGUUGUUAACCGAACGGCAUGGGAAGGCCGGUCAGAGAGUGUGAGAACCACGUAGGUGAAAACGAUAAGAGCUGAGCGAUUUCCAGAGUACGGCCAGACACGUGAAACCUGGUCGGAAGAUGGGGGGACCACCCUCCAACCCUAAAUACUACCCAGUGACCGAUAGCGUAUAGUACUGUGAAGGAAAGGUGAAAAGCACCCCGGGAGGGGAGUGAAAAAGAACCUGAAACCCUGUGCCUACAAGCACCUAGAGCACGUCAAUGUGUGAUAGGGUACUUUUUGUAGAACGGUCCGGCGAGCGAUUGUAUGCAGCAAGGUUAAGGACUUAAGGUCUGGAGCCGAAGCGAAAGCGAGUUUGAAAAGGGCGUUAAGUUGCAUAUAAUGGGCCCGAAACCGGGUGACCUACCCAUGGUCAGGUUGAAGUGGAAGUAAAAUUCCAUGGAGGACCGAACCGACCUCCGUUGAAAAGGCGGCGGAUGAACUGUGGGUAGCGGAGAAAUUCCAAUCGAACCCGGAGAUAGCUGGUUCUCCCCGAAAUAGUUUUAGGACUAGCCUCAAGUUAGAUACCUGGAGGUAAAGCACUGAAUAGCCUAGCGGCCGAGAGGUUAGCGAAGCUUAUCAAACUCAGAAUGCCAGAGUAUUGAUGCUUGGGAGUCAGACAGUGUCAGAUAAAUGUCAUUGUCAAAAGGGAAACAGCCCAGAUCUACAGCUAAGGUCCCAAAGUCAGGUUAAGUGGAAAACGAUGUGAAGAUACGCAGACAACCAGGAUGUUGGCUCAGAAGCAGCCACUCAUUCAAAGAGUGCGUAAUAGCUCACUGGUCGAGCGUCUUUGCGCGGAGAAUUUAACGGGGCUAAACCUGACACCGAAGCUUAGGCAAUCCAGCAAUGGAUUGGGUAGGGGAGCGUUGUAUACGCGGAGAAACAGUAGCGUAAGCGGCUGUGGAGUGUAUAGAAGUGAGAAUGCCGGAAUGAGUAGCGCGAAUGCAGUGAGAAUCUGCAUGGCCGAAAGCCUCAGGUUUUUGGAGGAAGGUUCGUCCGCUCCAAGUUAGUCGGGAGCUAAGGUGAGGCCGAGAGGCGUAGCCGAUGCACAGACGGUAGAGAUUCCGUCACCACCGAAAGAGUUAAGCACAGGGACACAUUUGAAGUCUCAGAGCCGGGUGUUGGUUCCGGUAGAGAUCGAGGGAAAUUAGUACCGAAGUCUGAGAUGGAAGAUGGCGAGAAAAGCUGUGUGUAUUUCUGAGGUGCCCGUACCGCAAACCGACACAGGUAGGUAGGAAGAAGAUUCUAAGGCCAACGGGAGAAGGGUUGUUAAGGAACUCGGCAAAUUGACCCCGUAACUUCGGGAGAAGGGGUGCUCCAGAGAUGGAGCCGCAGAGAAUCGGCCCAAGCAACUGUUUACCAAAAACACAGGUUUGUGCUAAAUCGAAAGAUGACGUAUACGAGCUGACGCCUGCCCGGUGCUGGAAGGUUAAGAGGAGAUGUGCAAGCAUUGAAUCGAAGCCCCAGUGAACGGCGGCCGUAACUAUAACGGUCCUAAGGUAGCGAAAUUCCUUGUCAGGUAAGUUCUGACCCGCAUGAAAGGCGUAAUGAUUUGGGCACUGUCUCAACAGCCCGCCCGGCGAAAUUGUAGU